This 465-nucleotide ribosomal RNA is filed under the name Vreelandella stevensii. RNAcentral's name for it is "partial 16S ribosomal RNA". It matches the Rfam family "Bacterial small subunit ribosomal RNA", at positions 338 to 795 of the family's 1533-position model. The record is from RNAcentral. Lineage: Bacteria; Pseudomonadati; Pseudomonadota; Gammaproteobacteria; Oceanospirillales; Halomonadaceae.
CCUACGGGGGGCUGCAGUGGGGAAUAUUGGACAAUGGGGGCAACCCUAAUCCAGCCAUGCCGCGUGUGUGAAGAAGGCCCUCGGGUUGUAAAGCACUUUCAGUGAGGAAGAACGCCUGGUGGUUAAUACCCAUCAGGAAAGACAUCACUCACAGAAGAAGCACCGGCUAACUCCGUGCCAGCAGCCGCGGUAAUACGGAGGGUGCGAGCGUUAAUCGGAAUUACUGGGCGUAAAGCGCGCGUAGGUGGCUUGAUAAGCCGGUUGUGAAAGCCCCGGGCUCAACCUGGGAACGGCAUCCGGAACUGUCAAGCUAGAGUGCAGGAGAGGAAGGUAGAAUUCCCGGUGUAGCGGUGAAAUGCGUAGAGAUCGGGAGGAAUACCAGUGGCGAAGGCGGCCUUCUGGACUGACACUGACACUGAGGUGCGAAAGCGUGGGUAGCAAACAGGAUUAGAUACCCCAGUAGUC